CACGGCCUAUCAGCUUGUUGGUGAGGUAAUGGCUCACCAAGGCGUCGACGGGUAGCCGGCCUGAGAGGGUGACCGGCCACACUGGGACUGAGACACGGCCCAGACUCCUACGGGAGGCAGCAGUGGGGAAUAUUGCACAAUGGGCGCAAGCCUGAUGCAGCAACGCCGCGUGGGGGAUGACGGCCUUCGGGUUGUAAACCCCUUUUAGUAGGGAAGAAGCCUUCGGGUGACGGUACCUGCAGAAAAAGCGCCGGCUAACUACGUGCCAGCAGCCGCGGUAAUACGUAGGGCGCAAGCGUUAUCCGGAAUUAUUGGGCGUAAAGAGCUCGUAGGCGGCUUGUCGCGUCUGCUGUGAAAACUGGAGGCUCAACUUCCAGCGUGCAGUGGGUACGGGCAGGCUAGAGUGCGGUAGGGGAGAUUGGAAUUCCUGGUGUAGCGGUGGAAUGCGCAGAUAUCAGGAGGAACACCGAUGGCGAAGGCAGAUCUCUGGGCCGUAACUGACGCUGAGGAGCGAAAGAGUGGGGAGCGAACAGGCUUAGAUACCCUGGUAGUCCACUCCGUAAACGUUGGGAACUAGUUGUGGGGGCCUUUCCACGGUCUCCGUGACGCAGCUAACGCAUUAAGUUCCCCGCCUGGGGAGUACGG
This 645-nucleotide ribosomal RNA is filed under the name uncultured actinomycete. RNAcentral's name for it is "bacterial SSU rRNA". It matches the Rfam family "Bacterial small subunit ribosomal RNA", at positions 232 to 885 of the family's 1533-position model. Lineage: Bacteria; Bacillati; Actinomycetota; Actinomycetes; Actinomycetales. The record is from RNAcentral.